Molecule: long non-coding RNA, 275 nt
Filed under: Nicotiana benthamiana
Lineage: Eukaryota; Viridiplantae; Streptophyta; Magnoliopsida; Solanales; Solanaceae
Description: long non-coding RNA (NBEN_LNC003187)
Source: RNAcentral
CCUCCACUUUUCCUUUGACUACCUCGUUCCACCACCAAUCACCCUGAUGUCUGCCUGAAUAUCCCUUAGCUACCCCGAGCACGUCCCGUGCUACCCCCGUAACCAAGUUUGCCGUCACUAUCCACAUAGCAUGCGCUUCCCCAUAACUUCUCCAAGCUCCGCCCUCCGCUAACCUCCUUUCCAACUCCUGUGCUUUCUCCUUAGACAAAGCUCACCAUCUAAUCCGCGGUUGACCCCGGGCGCCCCUCCUCUUCUUCUUCACCCAGAGAUCGACA